GACGAACGCUGGCGGCGUGCUUAACACAUGCAAGUCGAACGGAAAGGCCCUGCUUUUGUGGGGUGCUCGAGUGGCGAACGGGUGAGUAACACGUGAGUAACCUGCCCUUGACUUUGGGAUAACUUCAGGAAACUGGGGCUAAUACCGGAUAGGAGCUCCUGCUGCAUGGUGGGGGUUGGAAAGUUUCGGCGGUUGGGGAUGGACUCGCGGCUUAUCAGCUUGUUGGUGGGGUAGUGGCUUACCAAGGCUUUGACGGGUAGCCGGCCUGAGAGGGUGACCGGCCACAUUGGGACUGAGAUACGGCCCAGAGUCCAACGGGAGGCAGCAGUGGGAAAUAUUGCACAAUGGGCGGAAGCCUGAUGCAGCAACGCCGCGUGCGGGAUGACGGCCUUCGGGUUGUAAACCGCGUUCGCCUGUGACGAAGCGUGAGUGACGGUAAUGGGUAAAGAAGCACCGGCUAACUACGUG
This 468-nucleotide ribosomal RNA is filed under the name uncultured bacterium. RNAcentral describes it as "partial 16S ribosomal RNA". It matches the Rfam family "Bacterial small subunit ribosomal RNA", at positions 28 to 507 of the family's 1533-position model. The record is from RNAcentral.